RNAcentral lists this ribosomal RNA (497 nucleotides) under uncultured bacterium. RNAcentral describes it as "partial 16S ribosomal RNA". It matches the Rfam family "Bacterial small subunit ribosomal RNA", at positions 28 to 507 of the family's 1533-position model. The record is from RNAcentral.
GAUGAACGCUGGCGGCGUGCCUAAUACAUGCAAGUCGAGCGAACAGAUGAGGAGCUUGCUCCUCUGACGUUAGCGGCGGACGGGUGAGUAACACGUGGAUAACCUACCUAUAAGACUGGGAUAACUUCGGGAAACCGGAGCUAAUACCGGAUAAUAUAUUGAACCGCAUGGUUCAAUAGUGAAAGACGGUUUUGCUGUCACUUAUAGAUGGAUCCGCGCCGCAUUAGCUAGUUGGUAAGGUAACGGCUUACCAAGGCAACGAUGCGUAGCCGACCUGAGAGGGUGAUCGGCCACACUGGAACUGAGACACGGUCCAGACUCCUACGGGAGGCAGCAGUAGGGAAUCUUCCGCAAUGGGCGAAAGCCUGACGGAGCAACGCCGCGUGAGUGAUGAAGGUCUUCGGAUCGUAGAACUCUGUUAUUAGGGAAGAACAAAUGUGUAAGUAACUAUGCACGUCUUGACGGUACCUAAUCAGAAAGCCACGGCUAACUACGUG